RNAcentral lists this long non-coding RNA (363 nucleotides) under Mytilus galloprovincialis (Mediterranean mussel). Lineage: Eukaryota; Metazoa; Mollusca; Bivalvia; Mytilida; Mytilidae. The record is from RNAcentral.
ACGUUUUUGUUUUAUUAAUAUUCAAUGUUGAUACAUUCGUCUUAAUGUACUAGUUUCAUUGACCAUUUCUGUCAUUUUCGCCUUCUCCCACGACAUGUUAUUAUACAUUUUGGAAUACUUCCUCCUUGUGGACAGACUGCGCCACUAUCGGAUGGACAGAAAGAUGGAACUUUACAAGCAGCGGGAGGUAUUUCUUUUGGGAAUUCUGGUUGAUCUGAAAUUGUUUUACAAACGUUAAACAUAUAAACAACCAUACUUGUAUUCGUUAGGAUUCGUAAUUCGAAACUCGGGUUUUUUUUGCAGCUGUUACAAAUAUAACACGUAAACCAUAUAAAACUUUCAAAUGAGUUCAGCUUGAAUAAG